GUCAGAGAUAAUAUUUGCCAUUUACAUACCCAACAAAGGAUUUGUAUUUAAAAUAUAUAAGAAUGUCUUCAAAUUAAUAAUGAAAAAAGGAAAACCAGAGGUUGUACUCCUAGAUUGGCAGCAUGAAGAGCUCUGUAGACACCUCUGAAGGAAAACAACCUCAACUAAUGAAAGCUGUUGGAACAACCAACCAUUAAGUGUCUCUAGAAGUUUAAGGGUAGGAAUACAGCCAAAAAAGAAAUGUUUAUUAAAGAAAAAAAUCUAAUAAACCCUAAAUUUGAGUAAGAGCAUCCAGUAGAUGGCACUUGAGGCAUGAAGUGCCGUGGCCUGAAGUGGGACUCCUUCCCACAGGUCCCUGUCCAGGAUCCAGGAUCUCCUAGAAGAGACAGGCCACCAGCAUUUCUUACCCACCAUGAGUCACACUGCCUAUCUUUCUGACAAGUGAGGCUGGGAGGUUGGGGGAGCCUCUCCCUCCCGCAUCCCCCACCCCAGGGCAGGCUCUCUGUCUGUGGCUUGGCGAGCCGAAGUUGUGGAGCGCUCCCCAUCCCUGCCCACUCCACUCGCAGGAUGGGGGCUCCAUGGUGGUGGGGCAGGCUGGUAGAGACGGCCAAAAGCAACUGUCCUCACCCAGUAGUCUCCUAAUAAAACAGGACUGUCACUCCAAAAGAAGUGGGCCUCGGUCCUCACCCUUAACUCCAGAGCGGUGGCUUGUAGAUUUUUUUUUUUUUUAAUCCAUAAGGGGAACAGCAGUUCAGAAGAACAGAGAUCUGAAGCUCUCGCCAAAAGAACUAACUAUAUGUAAAAUAGAGUUUCUGGAAAAUCCAAACCUACAAGUACUUUUUUGGGAAAAAAAAAGAUUGUGGCGGG
This 867-nucleotide long non-coding RNA is filed under the name Marmota monax (woodchuck). The record is from RNAcentral. Lineage: Eukaryota; Metazoa; Chordata; Mammalia; Rodentia; Sciuridae.